This 801-nucleotide long non-coding RNA is filed under the name Pongo abelii (Sumatran orangutan). RNAcentral describes it as "lincRNA". Lineage: Eukaryota; Metazoa; Chordata; Mammalia; Primates; Hominidae. The record is from RNAcentral.
AGAAAGUGCUAGGCACGUAGGCGUUCAGGAGACAGUCACGGUACUCGUUUCCAGACAGAAGUCAUGAGGAACAAGAGGGAAGGUGCUUUCCCGUGUGCAGCGCUUGGGGAGACUCACACAGACAGAGGAUCUGGCAUGACAGGGAAAGGAGGAAAUGGCUUCUGUUAAUCUCUCCUUCAGCUUCUCCCGCUCUUCCUAUGCACCCUUUCUGUUUCCCUUUCCAAUUCUCACGGUGACUCAAGGAACAACGUGUGAAAUGAAAGACCUCAGGUGCUGUAUUGGCUCUUGACAGCUCUUCAGAAGAAAGCACCUCCUGCCUGUUCUGUUCAGUCCUGGUGCAGGUGGUCCUGGACAACACUUUGAAAAAUGCUGGGGCAGAAACAAGCCAGCAAGCAUAUGGGAUUCAUCUGCUGUGAGUGAUAAUUUAUCUAGUUUCUAAAUAUAGUGUUAUAGGCUGGACUGUGUCCCCUUCGCCUCCCCCCCGCCGCCAUGCAUAUAUUGACGCCCUAACCCCUAGCACCUCAGAAUGUGACUGUAUUUGGAAACAGGGCCUUUAAAGAAGUAAUUAAGUUAAAAUGAGGUCAUUAGGGUGGGCUCUAAUGCAGUAUAACUGGUGUCCUUAUAAGAAGAGAUUAGGACACAGAUGCACACAGAGGGAAGACCAUAUGAACACAGAGGGAGAAGACAGCCACCUGCAAGCCACAGAGAGAGCCCUUCAAAGAAACCAACCCUGCAGACAAUUUGAUCUCAGGUUUCUGGCCUCCAGAAUUAUGAGAAAAUAAAUUUCUGUUGUUUAAGUCA